This 497-nucleotide ribosomal RNA is filed under the name uncultured bacterium. RNAcentral's name for it is "partial 16S ribosomal RNA". It matches the Rfam family "Bacterial small subunit ribosomal RNA", at positions 28 to 507 of the family's 1533-position model. The record is from RNAcentral.
GAUGAACGCUGGCGGCGUGCCUAAUACAUGCAAGUCGAGCGAACAGACGAGGAGCUUUCUCCUCUGACGUUAGCGGCGGACGGGUGAGUAACACGUGGAUAACCUACCUAUAAGACUGGGAUAACUUCGGGAAACCUGAGCUAAUACCGGAUAAUAUAUUUAACCGCAUGGUUCAAUAGUGAAAGACGGUUUUGCUGUCACUUAUAGAUGGAUCCGCGCCGCAUUAGCUAGUUGGUAAGGUAACGGCUUACCAAGGCAACGAUGCGUAGCCGACCUGAGAGGGUGAUCGGCCACACUGGAACUGAGACACGGUCCAGACUCCUACGGGAGGCAGCAGUAGGGAAUAUUCCGCAAUGGGCGAAAGCCUGACGGAGCAACGCCGCGUGAGUGAUGAAGGUCUUCGGAUCGUAAAACUCUGUUAUUAGGGAAGAAAAAAUGUGUAAGUAACUAUGCACGUCUUGACGGUACCUAAGCAGAAAGCCACGGCUAACUACGUG